Molecule: ribosomal RNA, 534 nt
Filed under: Penicillium citrinum
Lineage: Eukaryota; Fungi; Ascomycota; Eurotiomycetes; Eurotiales; Aspergillaceae
Description: eukaryotic LSU rRNA
Rfam family: 5.8S ribosomal RNA (bases 161-314)
Source: RNAcentral
GCCUGCGGAAGGAUCAUUACCGAGUGCGGGCCCCUCGGGGCCCAACCUUCCCACCCGUGUUGCCCGAACCUAUGUUGCCUCGGCGGGCCCCGCGCCCGCCGACGGCCCCCCUGAACGCUGUCUGAAGUUGCAGUCUGAGACCUAUAACGAAAUUAGUUAAAACUUUCAACAACGGAUCUCUUGGUUCCGGCAUCGAUGAAGAACGCAGCGAAAUGCGAUAACUAAUGUGAAUUGCAGAAUUCAGUGAAUCAUCGAGUCUUUGAACGCACAUUGCGCCCUCUGGUAUUCCGGAGGGCAUGCCUGUCCGAGCGUCAUUGCUGCCCUCAAGCCCGGCUUGUGUGUUGGGCCCCGUCCCCCCCGCCGGGGGGACGGGCCCGAAAGGCAGCGGCGGCACCGCGUCCGGUCCUCGAGCGUAUGGGGCUUCGUCACCCGCUCUAGUAGGCCCGGCCGGCGCCAGCCGACCCCCAACCUUUAAUUAUCUCAGGUUGACCUCGGAUCAGGUAGGGAUACCCGCUGAACUUAAGCAUAUCAAAA